UACGAGUGCCCCAAGCGUUAUCCGGAAUCAUUGGGCGUAAAGGGUGUGUAGGCGGUUGUGUUAGUCUUUUGUUAAAUUCUUCGGCUUAACCGGGGACCUGCAGAGGAAACGGCACAACUAGAGGAUGCGAGAGGUGAAUGGAACUCAUGGAGUAGGGGUGAAAUCCGUUGAUAUCAUGGGGAACACCAAAAGCGAAGGCAAUUCACUGGCGCACUCCUGACGCUGAGACACGAAAGCGUAGGUAGCGAAUGGG
RNAcentral lists this ribosomal RNA (253 nucleotides) under uncultured bacterium. Its description in RNAcentral is "partial 16S ribosomal RNA". It matches the Rfam family "Bacterial small subunit ribosomal RNA", at positions 524 to 776 of the family's 1533-position model. The record is from RNAcentral.